RNAcentral lists this long non-coding RNA (1868 nucleotides) under Solanum tuberosum (potato). RNAcentral describes it as "long non-coding RNA (STUB_LNC002379)". The record is from RNAcentral. Lineage: Eukaryota; Viridiplantae; Streptophyta; Magnoliopsida; Solanales; Solanaceae.
CUCCCAUAUUUUCAAGCCAGUUCAUCCCUCUGCACUUCUCCGAGGAUCCACCACGAGAGCUCGCGGCGAAGCGCCGGAAAAUGACGAAGCUCUUCGCGUUUGAGAAGAUGCCCAGGUUCAACAAUGUUUCACUGAAUCUGAAUGCUCAUCGUUAUAAUGUGUUGCUUUAUUUGUUGGUUAAAAUUAGGGUUUAUCAACAAAUGAGUUAUAUGUGAAUGCAAGAGUGUUGUAUGCAAUUUUUUUAAAGUUUAUUGUAGAUUGAGUCAGGACGAUCCUACUGUUCAAAACAAAUUUAAGUCCGACUACUUUCACAUGACAUCGGAGUGAAUAACUAAAUAACGUUUAAACAUGAAAUUAACCCUUGAUAAGUCUUAGAAAGUGGAUAUACAUACAGGAGAAUCUGGGGCUGUGCCUGAGGGGUUAGAGCUAUUUGCACAAGUAAGAAUUUGUCGAAAAGGGAAGCCGAAGGGUUUGCAUGCAUUGUUAGAUAUUGUUGCCAGGGAUGCCACACCAUGUAUGUCUUCAAGUUGAUUUAAAGAAAAAUAUAAUUAUCUUUGUAAAGCUAAGCAUUCAUAUUUAUCUUCUGCCAAUACUCAACCUCCCAAAACAAACCCAAACAAGAAGAAAAAAGAAUCAUUAGGGUGAACAUGUAAAUAAUAAGUAGGGUGAAUCUCUCUAUAGAUGAGUGUCUCUGCAGGAUGAAUGAAAAUGCUGGUUGCUGGCAAUAAAAUUGGAUCAUGAUAUGGUAAUACUCUGCAUACCUAGUUGUUUUCGUGUUAUCUAUGAACUGGAAAGAAUGUUGGAUUAUUCAUUUAUCGUCUUUUUCCCCUUAUAAUGGAUUCUGAAAUAUCUGUUACUCCUAAAUAUACCUAUUCAGAAUUGGUGGAGUGCUUCUUUCAAUUCCCAGUACUUGAAAGAAUGUUGGAUUAACUUUCAAGGUGCACCUCGUCCAGGAGUGUCUAAAGAAAAAUUUUGUAGUGGUAGAUGGUGCAAAUGUUGGCCUCACUAAUCAACGUAAUUAUAAUCUCCCAGGCGCCCUUGCUUUGUUUUACAUUCCUUUUUUGUUUUCUUAUACUCCCCUUGAUUCUUUUCUGAGGUGACCGUGGAAGAAUGCGUUUGGAGUUAAGGAUGUAUUUUGAUGUGUUUUAGAAUUAAGAAAAAAGAAGAAGAACAAACUACUUGUAUAGCAAUAUGCAUCGUUUGAUCUUUUUAACGAGGAAUUGCUACUUCCAUAAUUUAGCAUAACGUUUAGUGCAUAGUUUGCCUCUCUACAUCCACGAGGUAGGGGUAAGGUCGCUCUAUCCUUCCCAUGUGGGAUUUCAUUGGGUAUGUUGUUGUUUGGUGCAUAGAAUGGCUGAAAGAAAUAGUAGAAUUUUGAAGCAACAAGAGACACAUUCUUAGCCAUAAGUUUAGAGCUUUUUCUUUCCUAGCUCUUUGGUGCAACCUAAAUUUUGUACAUGAUGUAAAUGGCAUGUUAGAUACUAUCGAGGAAUUGCACAAUCUGUAACUCUGUUUUGUAGCUCUAGCUCAGUGUUAUUUUCUCUGUAACAAAAUUCUUUAUUACUUAUCAGGAAAAACUUUUUUUGGUAGUCUUUUUUUGUAUCACCUAGAAAUUUGUCUGGGCCCAUCCCUUAUGACUAAAUGCAACCUUCAAGACUCGGGGAUAAUGAGCCAGCUUCUCUUCCAUUAUCCACUUUAAUACCAGGCUCGAUACAGGCUUAUCCUGCAGUGACAAUAUGUCAGCAACUUUGUCCAUCUAGUCAAGAGUAAAUUCUUCUCCACAUUGAUCAAUCCACUUGCUUAAGCUAAACGGCUUGAAGCUUGUUAAUUUGGCCUCGAAGCUGAAGUGGUUCAGAGAAAUUUAUAUG